This 836-nucleotide long non-coding RNA is filed under the name Cyanistes caeruleus (blue tit). RNAcentral describes it as "lncRNA (ENSCCEG00000016747.1)". The record is from RNAcentral. Lineage: Eukaryota; Metazoa; Chordata; Aves; Passeriformes; Paridae.
CAGAAACGCAGGAGUGAGCUGAUGAGAGGGGAGUUCACUUCAUUUAACUGCAGCAUUUUUUUUCUAACGUGUUCCUGAAACUAAGGGACUCGUGAAUUCAGGGUAUUUUGGUGUCACUGCUUGUGCUUGGCCAUAUGUCUCCCUGAACUUGUGGAAGAAGAGGAAUUCUGGCCCACUCUGUAGACUGCAGUACCAUAUUUGAAUGGCCUCAAGUGUAAUCCCAGAUAUGUCUGGGCUCCUCAGAGGCUGCAUUUUCAUUCUCUCCUUGAUGGUGACCUGAACCUGAACUAAAACCUAAGGUCUACAGGCAGCUCUGAGUCCCACAUAGUUGCCUGGAGAGCCCCUGUAUCCUCUCCUUCCCUCAGUCCUCAAGCACACUAGGAGGUAAAGGAGUCAGCUGUGUUGCAACACUGGUGCUUACCCCCUGUGUGUCCAGGCCCCCUGUUAGAGUACCAACACGACUGUGGUAAGAAGGAACAAGAGGGAGUAAGAUUCUGCUGCCAGGAAAGCUCCUGCCUUCAGGAAUUUUCCACAGAGGGUGCCCCAGCAACAGGAAAGGAGUUUUGUGUUACACAAGGAGGACAAUCACUGUGGCUGCAUCCUCAUAACACAGAGCUGCAUGUGAAAGGUGUAUGCAGCAGCACUGGGGACAUAUUCCACUUCAACAGAUGAAACCUUUUCUCCCCAUUGUUAGCAACACUGACUAGAUGAUGAAGCCAAACAAGGAGAUACCCUGCAGUUCCUAUGAUGACACAUCUCACUGCUGCUGACUCACCUGGUGAUAUAAGACUUUCUGUUGGUAUUUCUAUAAAUGACAAAAAUAAACAUCUGCUAAG